Molecule: long non-coding RNA, 1418 nt
Filed under: Drosophila guanche
Lineage: Eukaryota; Metazoa; Arthropoda; Insecta; Diptera; Drosophilidae
Source: RNAcentral
GUCAAGUCAAGAAUGACAAAUCAUAUAUAUUAUUAUAUCAAUUAUAUCAAUCAAUGUAUAAAUAAUUUAUUUUAACAAUACUAAUUGUCAAAUGUUUAGCUUUCUUUCAGAAAAGUUUUGAUCGUGAUUGUUUGUAGGUUUGUUGCAUUUUGAGUUGUGUUUUGUUCUUUGUUUUAUGUUUUUCCUUAACUAUUAUAAAUUUUGUAUAUUCGGUUCGAGGCAAUGUGCCGGAACGAAAGCUUCGGCGAGUCGGACGCCGACAAUACAGUGGUGGAGAUCGGAAAGGAUCCCUCUGAGGCUCCUUCAGAGAAAUUUCAAAUUUUCAAUUACCAAAUAUGUAAAAAAAAAAACGAUAAAAUUAAUUUAAUAAGCACGAUUAAAAAAAAAAAAGUAAUACCAGAAACAAGAAAACAACGAUUACUUUCAUGUAUCAAAUUAAAAACUAAGCUCAACUCAAUUGUAUAAUUGCAUCAUGCUCGGGGCUAGCGUGCAAAUUGCAAGGGGGAACAUCCUGCCACUCAUCCGCAUUGCGAGGCCAGGAAGGAAGCGUGUGCCAUACAAAAGAGCAUGAGGUUAGAGCCCAGCAUGUCGUCUCAGCCACACUCACUAUUAGCAGCAAAAGCAAACUUGCAUAUUGUCAAACUCCUUCACGUGAGAAACACUUUUUUCUUAAAGUUCCAUCCAAAAAUAAUUUGGAAUGUGGCAGAACUGCUUUUGAACUUCAGCAACCUUAAGAAUCAGAUAAAAAAUAGAAGAAGUUAAAUGUGGCUGAUCAAUUACCUCUGACACCAAAAUGGACGUUUAGCAGCCACAUUCCUCAGCCGCGAACUACACGAGGCUUGUGGUCGAGCAAGAGACAGUGAGCAAACUUUGGUAGGUUUCUGGAUGAGGUGUAGCCACUGAAAAUAAAUUUCUUCAUUCUGGCUGAUCCCACUCUGAACAUUAAUCGGGGAUCCUGAUAGUCUAUUGAAGACAUGUUUUGUGGACAUUUUCGUGUUUUGAAUUGUUGGCUUCGGGGCCAAGUGAAGCGUUGUUGUUGUUUUUCCCGCUUUUUUAGGCCUGCAGGAAUGACGGGUCGCUACAUUAUGGACGCUUCAUGGAUUAUACAUCAUAAUUGCAUCAUGGAAGGGUCUUCCUUUUUUCCUGCGUGUUGUUUGCCGCUCUUGUCUCCUUUUCUGUGACCAUACUGGUCUUACGUUGCAUUCUUACGUUUUAUUAUAAUCUAUAUUUUCUUAUACCCUUUUUAGUGUGAAUCUGAUUUUGUAAGCAAUUCAAUAAAAGAAAGUCAUGAAAACUAGCUCUUGAGAAUUGGUUGACAAAUCGCAAACAAUUGUAGUUUCCGUGCUUAGAGCCCUAGCUAUAUGGUAAUAUGAAUCAGAAUAUAAAAUCGAGGGGAAGUAUGUGGAGUUCGGUAUGGU